RNAcentral lists this long non-coding RNA (1300 nucleotides) under Nicotiana tabacum (common tobacco). Its description in RNAcentral is "long non-coding RNA (NTAB_LNC006281)". Lineage: Eukaryota; Viridiplantae; Streptophyta; Magnoliopsida; Solanales; Solanaceae. The record is from RNAcentral.
UUUGACUUUGUCAGCGUAGCAUAUGCAUCAACAUGCCUCAAAUUCCUUCUUUAUACUCCUAAAUCUUUUCACUGAAUUGUAUUUGUCAAAAAGAAAAAAGAAGAAGGAAAAAACUCCAUCAUUAACUUUUAGCAAUUCCACAAACAUCUCCAACUCCUUGUCUUCUUUUUUCGUUCUUCUUUAUCCUUAAACACCCAUUGGCCAUUCUCCAAAAUAUUUAUAAGUCCUCUUCCCGCACCAAACAACAAAAAAGAGUCAGAAAGGCAUUAAGAAAAUUGAAUAUGUCAAAAACAAACGUUAAAGAAAAGAUCGUAACUAUGAGUUGUUUGAAAGAAACAAAAAUCUCUUUAACGAUUAUUAAAAAAGAAUGCAAUAAUAUAUUUAGACCAUGAGAAUUGAGAAAGAAGAGCAGAUUGUUUACAAAAGAAAACGAACUGACAGUUUUUAAAAGAAUACAUUCUUUCAAAUAAUUCAAAUAACACACCGUGAUUGUCUUCUCCAAUUCUAUUGCAACUUUUACGUCACUAUUUCCUCCGGUAUCUACUCAACUUGUGCCUUAUCAUUCCCCAGAAAAUAUUCCCUACUCUGGUUCCUCUCCCGACAAUGUCACUUUCCAACAAUUGAUAACAGCCCAACAAAAAGUCCAACUUCUCCCGGUCGGUAACUUAACCUGCACAACUCGGCGCCUCCCUCUGAUCCGCUAUAUAUUUAGUUAUUGCUUUAUCAAGUAUCAUAUCUCAAGCCAACCUUCAUCUAACAUGUAUAUCAAUGAAAAGAAGAACAUGCGUGAUUAAUAGAGGAGUAAUGAAAUUAAGUGGAAGAGAAUGGCGUGUAAUUAAGAUGAUUACUGAAGAGUUGGUUACACAUAUCAUUUAAGGUGUAAUUUCAUAAUUAAAGGCAACGGUUAAAAAAUGAGGUAACAAAUAAGAGACGAGAAAGAGGCGUGUCUUUUGAAGGAAGGGAAAUAUUAAGAAAAGGCAAAAGUCUGAGAAAAUUAGUAAAUAGAUUUUGUGGCUUGUGAGGCCUGCCAUAUCACUCCUUCAUGUCCCUCUAUUAUAUAGAUAUAUAAAUUUUUCAGAGCUCUCAGAGGAGAGGUAUAGUACUGUGUAGUAGGUGCGGCAUAUGUCCAGAAGACAGUGAAAAUAUAGACCAUCUAUUUGUGUGUUGUAUAGUAGUAAGAAGCAUAUCAAAUAUGUUCAGCAACAUCUCUUGUAUAAGCUGAGCAAUACCUAAGAGCUUGAAGGAAGUUUUGUUACUAAAUGUUUUUGCUUUAACUCAGACAUAUGAUUAGAGACAACAA